Molecule: long non-coding RNA, 94 nt
Organism: Nanorana parkeri
Lineage: Eukaryota; Metazoa; Chordata; Amphibia; Anura; Dicroglossidae
Exons: 3
Source: RefSeq, a predicted model, not a curated record
GACAUGAACGGGGACCACUUUCAGCAUCUGUUGUAACUUGUGGGUAAGGGAAUAAAAACAAUCCACUUGCUUGUUUAUCUGCACUGCAAGCUGG